RNAcentral lists this long non-coding RNA (755 nucleotides) under Rattus norvegicus (Norway rat). Its description in RNAcentral is "long non-coding RNA NONRATT021863". Lineage: Eukaryota; Metazoa; Chordata; Mammalia; Rodentia; Muridae. The record is from RNAcentral.
CCUGCCGUCUCUCUUCAGUUGAACUGCUGUGGCAUAGCUGGUGGUGUGGAGCAGUUUAUCUCGGACAUCUGCCCCAAAAAGCAGGUUCUGGAAUCCUUCCAGGUUAAGGUAAACUUUGAAGCAACCCUCUGGCACCCUGCCCUGCUGCUUAGACAAAUACCCACAAGGCCUAGCUUGGGUGAAUUUAGCAGCAUUCCUCCCAGGGGCCCCUUUCCUCAAGUGGCAGCGAGACAAAAGCCAGAUCAGAGAGGGAACAAAAUCCCCUAGCUCUCACAGCUACAGGCACCUGGGACCUUGCACACUGCCCAAGGCCCAAGCCUUAAAGGAACAAGCAGACCCCGUGGAGGGUAGGUAUGUCUACUCCUAAGGCUUUAGAAACAGUUCCUGGUUGCUCAGUUUUCCUUAAUCCAGAAGCAGAAUUAUAAAAGUGACUCUCCACAGCUGCAUGGAACUGGACCCCAGAAGAGCCUCUGUAGUGGCAGAAUGCUUGCCGGGUGGAUGAGGCUCCAGGUUCCAGCCCCAGAACUGCCAAAAAGAGAAAGAAAGGGUUGUGUGUGUGUGCACGCACUAUAUCGAGUUGUCUGUUCUUCUGGGAGAUACACACACCACACACACACACACACACACACACACACACACACACACCACUCAUAUAAAAGUAAAUAGAACAAGGAAAAGACCUCAAACCUCUCCCUUCUGGCCACUCAUUCCAGUUGGCCCUUCAACCACGAGGCCUCCCAGAAUGAUUCAGGAGU